This 251-nucleotide ribosomal RNA is filed under the name uncultured prokaryote. RNAcentral's name for it is "partial 16S rRNA". It matches the Rfam family "Bacterial small subunit ribosomal RNA", at positions 525 to 775 of the family's 1533-position model. The record is from RNAcentral.
ACGGAGGGUGCAAGCGUUAUCCGGAUUUAUUGGGUUUAAAGGGUGCGUAGGCGGUUAUAUAAGUCAGCGGUGAAAUUUUUCGGCUCAACCGGAAACAUGCCGUUGAUACUGUAAAGCUUGAAUAUGGGUGCUGUGAGUGGAAUGCGUAGUGUAGAGGUGAAAUGCGUAGAUAUUACGCGGAAUAUCGAUUGCGAAGGCAACUCACAAGGUCAUUAUUGACGCUGAGGCGCGAAAGUGUGGGGAUCAAACAG